AGACGUUGAAUAAUUUAAAGAUUCGCAUGAGGAGAUCGAAUAGAACAACAAAUAAAUGCAUAUACGAUAUCAUACAACGCGUCUUUUAAAAAUGACUUAUGUCUGCGGAUCGGUUGACUCUUUAAUCAAUUAUUGUCUCACUUGGGUCAGAGAAUGCAUGCAUUAAAAUGUAGCUCCUACACUGUAAUUUUUAAAAUUGAAAAAUAAAAAAGAAGAAAAAAAAAGAUCAUUAUCGGACAGGACACUUUAAAAUACAUGUUAGCCAAUGGAAUCAAAAGAAUAAAUACGGACGAGUUAUUGUUUAGAGCCGUAAGUUCAUGGUUCAUUGCUCGAUAUUUCUGAUAUACCAUUGAUACAAUGUUUAACUGUUCUACAUACAGAAGCGUUUUGCAAUUAUUGAUAGUUUUACUAAUUGUCAAGGAAUUUGGAUCGUCCACUGUGCGUGCACAAUCAGGAGAUAAUUAUACUACAAAACCUUGUGUGACAAAACGAUUUGUUAAAACAUGGGACAAGGAAGAUUUUCCUAAUCCUCAGACGGAUAUUAACAGUGACUUUUGUGGGAGAGGAUGUAAAUCUUCUUGGAUAUGUGACCCUGGACAUAUUAUAAGUACUGAGCAAGCUGACGGCUUGGACAAAGAGAUUGAAGCUAUACGUACAACAACACCUUGUACGUGUUUGUCUUGUGAGGAUGAAGGAGGGUAUAUCAUUUCGAUAGCGUUGGUACCCUCGAUUACUUACAUACCAGGGUGAGUUAUCUACCUGGGGAAAAUGAAGCAGCAAAGAAUUUUACAGAUUAUCUCCACAAUGUUUCUUGGUCGUAUGGUAAUUGUGGCAAUGAUGUGGUAAUAUUUGUUUCAAGAGAACUUAAGAUGGUCCAAAUAUCAGCAGGUAAAAUGGUGAAUGAAAUGUUUGGUAAGGAACGCUUGCUUAAAAUUCAAAUUGAAGCCGAAGUUUUACUAAAGGAAGACAAAAUUUCACCAGGGUUAAAUCAUUUGGUUUCAAGAUUCAGACAAAUGUUCAAAUUAAAGUCAAGCGACAUCCCAAACCAUGAUAGCCAAAUGAAUACUGCGUUAGUAGUCAUACUAAUUACUGUAGGAAUACUGUUUCUCAUUUGUAUUUUCUCAGUGGUUCUUCAUCGACAAGGACAUUGUCAAAGGUUAAACACAUAUCGUAUUAAUCUUCCACCAAUCACAAUUCGCAUACGCAAACCUCAUAAACACCACCACCAUCACCACCACCACCACGAAAGAAGGCGAAGCAGUACGUCAUUGCGUUCCGGGGAAGAGUUGCAACAGAUGUACACUGUAGAUGAUAUUAAGGACGAACUAUCUAGAUAAUGUUCAGUUAAAAUUGAGGAAGGCGAAACGUUAGAAAUGUAUGAUUGUAAACAAAAUAGUUCAAAAAUGAUCUGUUAGGAAAAGGAGAUACAGAUUAGAAAAGUAGCAUCAUUGAAAAAUAUUGGUCAGUUAACAACGAAAAGUCUUGCACAAAUGAUAAAGAUCAGUUCAAUAAAAAGUAAGCACAAAUGUGUCACUCGAGGAGUGAGUUGGAAAAGUAUAUCUAAAAUACUGAUAACAGCAUCGUGUGGGUCUGAAAAUCUCAGUUAUUUUAAGGGAAAGGGAUUUUACAUUGUUAUAUACUUGUUUCCCGUUAUUUUUGGUAAAAUUGGAAAACUGUUUUUGGGUAUGUUUUUUAUUUAAUAUAUUUCCUAUUCUUGUACUAUCAAGUAUGGUAGUUAAGAAUAUGGUUUAUUUUAUUCAUUACAUUUUUAUAUGAUAUGUUUUUUUCUUAUUAUAUAUCGUUUAAUGCAAUGAGCUUAAAUUUUAAUCGUAAACAGAUGUAUUGGCUUUUAAAUAAAAAAAAAAUAGUGGGAUCGAGUAAGUCUCUUUCUCCCUUCUUUUAAAUUAGUUAUUUACACAAGAGUUAUCAUGCUAAAAUGUAUCAUCAGCUUUACUGGUUAUCAUUGUAUUUAUGUUGAAAUCCUAUCUAUAUGUAUCAGAUAAAUUAUAUUUAAUCAAUGUUUACGCAUAAAACUGAUAAAAUGAACUAUGUAUCAAAUAUUAAAAAUAACCAAACCAG
RNA transcript from Mytilus californianus (California mussel), 2079 nucleotides. RefSeq lists it as uncharacterized. The record is from RefSeq and is a predicted model, not a curated record. The transcript has 5 exons. NCBI's taxonomy places the organism in Eukaryota, Metazoa, Mollusca, Bivalvia, Mytilida, Mytilidae.